Molecule: ribosomal RNA, 200 nt
Filed under: uncultured eukaryote
Lineage: Eukaryota
Description: partial 18S ribosomal RNA
Rfam family: Eukaryotic small subunit ribosomal RNA
Source: RNAcentral
GCUCCAAUAGCGUAUAUUAAAGUUGUUGCAGUUAAAAGGCUCGUAGUCGAACAUCUGGCUGGUUAGUCUGGCCAUCUCUUUGAGGUGCGCGCCGGACUGGCUGGUCAUCCUUCUGGAGAGCUCUUCUGCCUUCACUGGGUUGGGGGAGGGAUCCAGAUCCUUUACUGUGAGAAAAACAGAGUGUUCAAAGCAGGCUUUAU